AUAAAUUAUAUAAGAAGUAUUGAUUAUAUGAUAUAUAUUGAUUUUUAAUAGAACAUCAUAUAUUAAUAAAACUUAUUAACAAAAAAAUUAUUGUUCUAUAUUAAUAAGAACUCUGUUUAAUGGAAAAUUUAAUGGUAGGUACGUAGAUUUCUGAUGGUUUUCAUGUUGAAUUUGGUGGGAAGCCAGAUUAAUUGUUGGCAUCACCGAAAAAGAGCUAUGAAUGGAUUAAAAGAAAAAUGGCGUCUAUUUACGUUUGUAGUGCGAAGUUAAAAUGGCACUGAUACAGCUUGUGGCUUGUUUUUUUUCGAAAAUCGUGAAAGUUUCCGUGUAAUCAUGGUGAACACUUUUAAUCGUCGCACGCAAGCAUGUAUAUCAUUUGCCUGACGUUAAGCGAACGAGGAGGAUCUUCUAGUAAAUAUGACGUUGGAAUUUCUGGAAAAUGUCCUAUAUAAAGGUCAAACAAGAAGAAUCAAGUACUCAAACGCAAGAAAUAAAAAAUACCCCGAGAAAAGCAAAAUUACGACAAGAUGUUAAGGUAUUGAAACAAAAACUUAAAAGUCGCGAAAUAGUGAUUGUAAAUAUAAAGUCGAUUUUAGAUUUAUUAGAGAAAAAUGGCGAUUUUUAAUUGAAUUGAAAUUUAAAUUGCGAAAUUUUAAUGAUACUGAUGGUCCACUUAGAUAUUGAUUAAAAUAAAUUAUGUAUUUCGUUGAAAAAAAAGAAUUUACUUAAAAUAGAGGAAAUGUUAUAUUAUAAGACUACAGAAAAUUAACUGAACUUAAUAAUAAUAAUAUGUAUAACCAAUAUUUUGUAAAUAGAGAUCAAGUACUAUGUGUAUCGUGUUAUGUGUAUUGACUUGUCAUUUAAGAGUUAUUUAAUUGUCUACAUAUAACAAAUAAAUGAAUUUCAGUUCAUUUCAUUUUAUUA
Long non-coding RNA from Bombyx mori (domestic silkworm), 924 nucleotides. RefSeq lists it as uncharacterized. Lineage: Eukaryota; Metazoa; Arthropoda; Insecta; Lepidoptera; Bombycidae. The record is from RefSeq and is a predicted model, not a curated record. The transcript is spliced from 2 exons.